Molecule: ribosomal RNA, 502 nt
Filed under: uncultured Oscillibacter sp.
Lineage: Bacteria; Bacillati; Bacillota; Clostridia; Eubacteriales; Oscillospiraceae
Description: partial 16S ribosomal RNA
Source: RNAcentral
ACGUAGUUAGCCGUGGCUUAUUCAUUCGGUACCGUCAUUUGUUUCGUCCCGAAUAAAAGAAGUUUACAACCCGAGGGCCUUCUUCCUUCACGCGGCGUUGCUGGGUCAGGCUUGCGCCCAUUGCCCAAUAUUCCCCACUGCUGCCUCCCGUAGGAGUCUGGGCCGUGUCUCAGUCCCAAUGUGGCCGGCCAACCUCUCAGUCCGGCUACUGAUCGUCGACUUGGUGGGCCGUUACCCCGCCAACUAUCUAAUCAGACGCGAGGCCAUCUUAGAGCGAUAAAUCUUUGGCAACCAAAGCCAUGCGACUUAGUUGCAUUAUGCGGUAUUAGCAGCUAUUUCUAACUGUUAUUCCCCACUCCAAGGCAGGUUCCUCACGCGUUACUCACCCGUCCGCCACUAGGUAUUCCUAUCAAUUGGCCGAAGCCUCUGUCAAGGGUACCCCGUUCGACUUGCAUGUGUUAAGCACGCCGCCAGCGUUCAUCCUGAGCCAGGAUCAAACUCU